GACGAACACUGGCGGCGUGCCUAAUACAUGCAAGUAGAACGCUGAAGGAGGAGCUUGCUUCUCUGGAUGAGUUGCGAACGGGUGAGUAACGCGUAGGUAACCUGCCUGGUAGCGGGGGAUAACUAUUGGAAACGAUAGCUAAUACCGCAUAAGAGUAGAUGUUGCAUGACAUUUGCUUAAAAGGUGCAAUUGCAUCACUACCAGAUGGACCUGCGUUGUAUUAGCUAGUUGGUGAGGUAACGGCUCACCAAGGCGACGAUACAUAGCCGACCUGAGAGGGUGAUCGGCCACACUGGGACUGAGACACGGCCCAGACUCCUACGGGAGGCAGCAGUAGGGAAUCUUCGGCAAUGGACGGAAGUCUGACCGAGCAACGCCGCGUGAGUGAAGAAGGUUUUCGGAUCGUAAAGCUCUGUUGUAAGAGAAGAACGAGUGUGAGAGUGGAAAGUUCACACUGUGACGGUAUCUUACCAGAAAGGGACGGCUAACUACGU
Molecule: ribosomal RNA, 494 nt
Filed under: uncultured bacterium
Lineage: Bacteria
Description: partial 16S ribosomal RNA
Rfam family: Bacterial small subunit ribosomal RNA
Source: RNAcentral